Molecule: ribosomal RNA, 221 nt
Filed under: uncultured bacterium
Lineage: Bacteria
Description: partial 16S ribosomal RNA
Rfam family: Bacterial small subunit ribosomal RNA
Source: RNAcentral
GAUGAACGCCGGCGGCGUGCCUAAUACAUGCAAGUCGAACGCACAGCGAAAGGUGCUUGCACCUUUCAAGUGAGUGGCGAACGGGUGAGUAACACGUGGACAACCUGCCUCAAGGCUGGGGAUAACAUUUGGAAACAGAUGCUAAUACCGAAUAAAACUCAGUGUCGCAUGACACAAAGUUAAAAGGCGCCUUGGCGUCACCUAGAGAUGGAUCCGCGGUG